RNAcentral lists this ribosomal RNA (406 nucleotides) under uncultured bacterium. Its description in RNAcentral is "partial 16S ribosomal RNA". It matches the Rfam family "Bacterial small subunit ribosomal RNA", at positions 30 to 526 of the family's 1533-position model. The record is from RNAcentral.
AUUGAACGCUGGCGGCAGGCCUAACACAUGCAAGUCGAACGAGUGGCGGACGGGUGAGUAAUGUCUGGGAAACUGCCCGAUGGAGGGGGCUAACUACUGGAAACGGUAGCUAAUACCGCAUACCAUCGGAUGUGCCCAGAUGGGAUUAGCUAGGUGGUGGGGUAAUGGCUCACCUAGGCGACGAUCCCUAGCUGGUCUGAGAGGAUGACCAGCCACACUGGAACUGAGACACGGUCCAGACUCCUACGGGAGGCAGCAGUGGGGAAUAUUGCACAAUGGGCGAAAGCCUGAUGCAGCCAUGCCGCGUGGAUGAAGAAGGUCUUCGGGUUGUAAAGUACUUUAAGCGGGGAGGCGUUACCCGCAGAAGAAGCACCGGCUAACUACGUGCCAGCAGCCGCGGUAAUAC